AUUGAACGCUGGCGGCAGGCCUAACACAUGCAAGUCGAACGGUAACAGGAAGAAGCUUACUUCUUUGCUGACGAGUGGCGGACGGGUGAGUAAUGUCUGGGAAACUGCCUGAUGGAGGGGGAUAACUACUGGAAACGGUAGCUAAUACCGCAUAACGUCGCAAGACCAAAGAGGGGGACCUUCGGGCCUCUUGCCAUCGGAUGUGCCCAGAUGGGAUUAGCUUGUUGGUGGGGUAACGGCUCACCAAGGCGACGAUCCCUAGCUGGUCUGAGAGGAUGACCAGCCACACUGGAACUGAGACACGGUCCAGACUCCUACGGGAGGCAGCAGUGGGGAAUAUUGCACAAUGGGCGCAAGCCUGAUGCAGCCAUGCCGCGUGUAUGAAGAAGGCCUUCGGGUUGUAAAGUACUUUCAGCGGGGAGGAAGGGAGUAAAGUUAAUACCUUUGCUCAUUGACGUUACCCGCAGAAGAAGCACCGGCUAACUCCGUG
Molecule: ribosomal RNA, 490 nt
Filed under: uncultured bacterium
Lineage: Bacteria
Description: partial 16S ribosomal RNA
Rfam family: Bacterial small subunit ribosomal RNA
Source: RNAcentral